CCAUUUCCGGUGUGUGCGUCCGCGUGUGAACCGGCGAGCUCAUGGCUUCCCUGGAGUCUUCCAGGCUGGACGGCCAGACUGGAGACAUGGAGACAGAGGUGCCACAGAGUGCAAGGUGGCUGUACUGUGGGAAGCCUGACGACAGGCAGAAAGCUGUGCUGGUUCAGUUCUCCAAUGGGAAGCUGCAGAAUCCAGGCAACAUGCGCUUCACCUUGUACAACAGCAACGACGUGGUAAACCCGAGGCUGAGGAAUCAGCGGAUCCUGGCAGCUGAAACAGACAGGCUCUCCUAUGUUGGAAACAAUUUUGGGACCGGCGCCCUCAAAUGCAACACUCUUUGCAGACACUUUGUGGGGAUUCUGAAUAAGACCUCCGGCCAGAUGGAGGUGUAUGAUGCCGAGCUGUUCAACAUGCAGCCGCUGUUUGUCGACGAUGCUAUUGAUCAUGAGUCCCCGCUGGACAGUCAGACCAAGACUUUCAGGGAAAAGUUGGAUUCUUGCAUUGAAGCCUUUGGAAGCACCAAGCAGAAGCGAUCCCUGAACUCCAGGAGAAUGAACAAAGUUGGCAGCGAAUCUUUGAAUCUCACAGUAACUAAAGCUGCAGAGAACAUCAUCGAUACAAAGGGUGUGAACGCUCUGGUCAGUGAUGCCAUGCAGGAUGACUUGCAAGAUGACUCCCUCUACCUUCCUCCCUGCUAUGCUGAUGCGACCAGGCCUGAAGACGUGUACAGAUUUGAAGACAUUCUGUCCCCGGCUGAGUACGAUGCUCUUGAGAGCCCUUCCGAAGCCUUCAGAAAUAUUACAUCAGAAGACAUACUGAAGAUGAUUGAAGAGAACAGCCACUGCUCCUUCAUCAUAGAAAUGCUGAAGUCUUUGCCAUCAGAUGAGCAGAGUCGAGACCGGCAAGCCCGAAGCAUCUGGUUUCUAGACGCCCUCAUCAGAUUUCGAGCUCAGAAAGUGAUAAAGGGAAAAAGUGCCCUGGGACCUGGAAUCCCCCACAUCAUCAACACGAAGCUGCUGAAGCACUUCACCUGCCUGACUUACAACAAUGGCAGUUUACAGAACUUAAUUUCAAAUUCAAUGAAGGCCAAGAUCACUGCGUAUGCAAUCAUCCUCGCCUUGCACAUAAGUAACUUCCAGAUCGACCUGACAGUGUUGCAGGGGGACCUGAAACUCAGUGAGAAAAGGAUGAUUGAGAUAGCAAAAGCCAUGAGGCUGAAGAUCUCCAAAAGAAAGGUGACGCUGGCAGAUGGCAGGGAAGAGGAUCACAGACUAGGCACUCUGUCUGUCCCACUGCCUCCAGCCCUGACCUCAGACCGCCAGCCAAAGCGGAAGAAGAUGAACUAGAUCUUUUCCAGGUGGCUUGCUCUGGCCAUAUCACAGCCACUUCUGUCCAGUCCCACUUUUAUUUUUUGAAAAAGGAAGCAGACUGGAUGUUGUGGUUCUCAGGAGACUGAGGCAGGCUGACUGUGGAUUCUGGGCCCAUCUGGGACUCUACUGUGCUCCACCACCCCAAGGCCUUACGUUUGCACGGUUAUCAACCUGAGCCAGCAUCCCAGCUGUGCCUCUCAUGCAGAGAUUAAAGGAUGGCCUAGGAUGGUACAGAAGAUGCUGCGGUUGCUGUGGUAACCACCUUCCACACGGGCUGUGAUCCUGGUCGCCAUGGCUGUCACCUUCUGCCCACUGUGGGACCCAGAGGAGCCCCUGACUGAGUUUUCAAGGUGAGGCCGUGCUGGAGGAUUCACCAGGCGCCAAGUGUCAGACCUAGAGGUGCAGAAGGAAAGCCAGUGAAUACGGAGAGUACUGGGUGACCCCUGCAUCUCACCUUUGGCUCCAGUUCUCUAGGUCUCCAAGUUUAAAUCUAGGUGUAGGUUUCAUCUUCUAAGUCAGUGACUGCCCAAUAAGGUGGAGUGAGAAACCAAGGGACAGAUCCCUGCUGCAUUUAUGCAUGGAACCUUGGUCACAUUUCCUCUGUGGUCCUCAACUUCCCCAUCUUUCUGGAUUUAGAUGUGAAUCAGUGGAUUUUAUCUCUAUCCUCCCCUCCCCGCCCCAAAGCGCACACACACCAGCUUUGUGAGCACGAA
This is an RNA transcript of Arvicola amphibius (Eurasian water vole), 2083 nucleotides long. It is a transcript of the gene named RNA polymerase I subunit E, with no coding region annotated. The transcript is spliced from 13 exons. NCBI's taxonomy places the organism in Eukaryota, Metazoa, Chordata, Mammalia, Rodentia, Cricetidae. The record is from RefSeq and is a predicted model, not a curated record.